Gasterosteus aculeatus aculeatus (three-spined stickleback) is the source of this 670-nucleotide long non-coding RNA. Lineage: Eukaryota; Metazoa; Chordata; Actinopteri; Perciformes; Gasterosteidae. The record is from Ensembl.
GCGUUCAACUCGCCUUCAACUCCUCUCCGCGGUCACCAACUUUCGGCCAGUCCGCAGACAGACAGAAGAAGCUGCUGAAAGCUCUCAGUAGAUCGUCUCGUCAACUCCAACAACAAACUGCCGAUAUCAACGAGCGGUUCGCUCCACUGGAGCGUUCGGGACUCUGCGGGUUUCUGUCCAUGGAGGAGAGGAACUGACUCAAAGAAGAGGAGACGGGCGCACAAUCCCACGAUAGCGAUGCCUGUGAGACGUAUUCUCAGGAGCUUCAGGUUCAGGCGGAACACUCAUUGCGGAGUUCAGCGCGGAGUCGAGCGAGAAGAAAGCGGGUCAGAGUUUAUUUGCUGACUUGUUUCAGCUGCUGGAAUCAAGACAAAGUGUGCUGGCUGAUGACGAGGUGGAACGCUGGAAAUCCGCCACCGUGGAGCUCACGUCGGACGGAGGGGACGGCGUUGUUGGCGGGGUCUCGGGUGGAUUGUACGGUCGCCACACGCACACGAGCCGCCUGCACAACAGACCUGCCUCGGAAAACACGUCGCCAGUGACGGUCAACAACCCCGAGGAGGCAAACGGACAGUUUACUGAGCUGUAGUUUUUAAACCGCCGUUACCCAAGUGUGGGCAGAUCCUCACUUUGUAUGUAGUUGUUGUUUGUGUGUUGUUAAUAAAGCUUU